AUGAUUGCAGUCAAGAGAAUGUCUGUUGUAUUGAAUACACUACGGAGCCAUAAGAUUAAGAUGGAGGAUUUCUUCAAUGAGGCUAUAUGUAUGAAGGAGGCUAAGCACAAAAAUAUCGUACGUCUUCUUGGAUACAGUUGUGACAAAGAACCUGAGAAGGUUCAAGGCUGUGAUGAAGCAACACGCGAAAUGUUUCUCUGCUCUGAGUACAUACCUAACGGCAGCCUUCAAGAGUACAUCAAAGACGAAUCUUCUAGAUUCCAAUGGAACACACGCUAUCACAUAAUCAUGGGAAUGUGUGAGGGUGUAGAUUAUCUCCACCGGAUGCAUGAGCCGAUGGUUCAUAUGGAUCUCAAGCCCUUAAAUAUACUACUGGACCAUAACAUGUCACCAAAAAUUGCUGAUUUUGGUCUAUCGAGACGCUUAAGCAAAUAUCAAAUCAAGGAGUCUAGGCAAAUAAUUGGUACCCUGGGAUAUGCAGCACCAGAAUUGUUUAGGGGCGAAGUAAUCACACCCAAGGUAGACAUGUAUAGUUUGGGUAUUAUAAUCAUGGAUCUUCUGGUGGGACAUAAGAAAUGCAUGGACUUUGUUGCUCAUCGAACACCUGGGGGAUGUGUAGUUGAUACGGUACGUGAAACUUGGAAUGCAGUGCUUGGGCCAUCAGAUAGUCAUUAUAAACUUCUACGGAAACAAGUACAAGUAUGUGCUGAGAUAGCAGUAGAAUGCAUGGACAAGGAUCCUAACGAGCAUACAUACAAGGUGCCAGAAUAUGUGCCAAUAAUAGAUUGGAAUUCUGAAUCGGAUGUAUACGAAGGAAAUUCCAAAUCCGGAAUAGUUUCAAGCGUGUUAUCAGCAGAGCAGGAAAUUAUGCCCCCGGGUGAAGGUAGACCUAUGGCGUCUGAUAUCAUCAAUAGGCUUCUUAAAACAGAAGGACAGAAAUCCAGCCAUUUCAAUAGAACAAUAAUAGAAGGGCCACAACAAUUGCGGGCCACGGAUAUGUUGAAGAUACAGACUGCCACCACAUGGGGAGAGGUAAAGGGUAGCGACAGAAGCGAGAUAAACCCCAAACAGUUGGGACACAUGGAGCACGGGGUGAUCCUAUCUGGUGCCAUCCACCCAUCUAGUGCCACAAUGAAACCCAAGAUCCUAUGCAGCCCCGACGAAGUUGAAUUAGUAUGUUCCAUAGAUAUGCAUCCCACAGAACCAUGGAUCUUGAUGAGUCAUGGGCUCAAAGUUUCCAUCUGGAACUACCAAACACAGGUAAUAGAGAGAGACUUUAAUGUCAGCAACAAAGGUUGCGGCCUACAUGACCCAGUCGAGGUUACACCUGUUAAAUUUAUCCCCGAGGUGAAAUCGAUUGUGAUGGGCGAUAUUCGUGGCCACAUCCGCGUGAUCAGAUAUGAUACGAUGGAAGAAAAGGUUAACUUUGAUGCUCACAAUGGCAAUGCUAUCGAAUCAUUGGCAGUCCGCUCAACUGGUACGUUCCUGCUAUCGGCGGGUUAUUCCGGCAUGAUCAAGCUAUGGAAAUGGGAAAAUGGUUUGAGUUUGAUUGAAUAUAAAAAAUAUGAUGCUGGUUCUCGCACGGUGACCCAACUCAGGUUUAACGCAAACACUUUUCUUAGUUUUCAAGUGUCUGGCAUGAUAAAGGUCUGGUCAAUUGAUUGUCCCUGCCCUAUCGCCAUAAUACCUGCAAGACCGUGGUCAAAUGAAUCAUGGGGUCUUUGCAAACCAUUUGAUUAUCUUCCCACUGAGAGUGAUCGGAAAUAUAUGAUUACAACUACAAGGAAUGACACAUGCAUAUGGAACUUGGAUUUCCCGAAAAAAGAAAAAAGAAAGAUAUGGAACUUGGAGACAAAGGUGAACUUGGAGAUAAAGGUGAAUAAGGUUCACACACUUGCUUGGACAAAUGUCGUGGCAGUCGCUUGCCAUCCAACACUUCCGUUGAUAGUUAUAGUUACUGGGCACAGCCUGGGAACCUCAUCUCUUCACUUUUGGAGCUCUAUCAACUACAGGCUUGUGAAAACCAUUAACAUUGAGAGGACUUUCGGCUGGAUUAAAGAGUUUGGAUUUGCGGGCACAACAAGGCUCGUUGUCAUAUAUGGGCAAAAACCAUCUCAAAAGGAUAUAUAUGGGCAAUGGCUGCCAUAUAUAUGCAAUGAAAGAAUAGAAGUCCUGGAAAUAGAUAUGAAAGCAUUAGCAUGUCAGCAGGAAAAAGAUUGGACAUCAACAACGGUUCCACUAGUGGAGACUUCAGAUCAAGCAGCAACUGAUACCGACGGAGAUACCAGUACCUGCAGGGAUAGUUCCUGCAGAGACUCGGCUAGUGGUUACACCAGCAGUUCAGCGGUCCAACCAGCCAAGACUUAUGUGAACGAGAAUAAAGAAGCAAAACCUGCUGUCAUAUAUGGGCAAAGCCCAUCUCAAAACACAAAUUAUGGGAAAAUGCUGCCAUAUAUAUGCAAUGAACGACUAGAAGUCCCGGAAAUUGAUAUGAAAACAUCAGCAUGUCAGCGGGAACAAGAUAUGGCACCAACAGCGGUUCCACCGGUGGAGACUUCAGCUUCAGCAGUGACAAACACUGAGAGAGAUAGUACCUGCAGCAAUAGUUUCUGCAGAGACUCGGCCAAUAGUUACACCAACAGUUCAGCUGUCCAACCGGCCAAGACUGAUAUGAGCGAGGAUAAAGAAUCACAACCUACAACCAUAUAUGGGCAAAGGCUGCCAUUUAUAUGCAAUGGCAGAAUAGAAGUCCCGGAAAUUAAUAUGGAAACAUUAGAAUGCCAGCAGGAAAAAGAUAAGACAUCAACAACGAUUCCACCAGUGGAGACUUCAGCUCCAGCCACGACUGAUACUGACAGAGAUACCAGUACCUGUAGAAACAGUUCCUUCACAGACUCGGCCGACAGUUCAGCGCUACAACCGGAAAAGACCGAUGUGAGUGAGGAUAAAGAAGCAAAACCUACCACUACUAAACAACCUGCAGCGGAGGAAGCUGAGCAGAUGGAGCCUGAGGUUCUCCCCAAAGCAUUCAUUUCUAAUGUUUUUCCGUCAGAAAUGGAGAAGCUACACCAAGAGAAUGUUCUGCUGAGAGGAGAGGUCAAGGAAUUGCGUGAUGAAGUGAAUGUUUUGAUGAAGGUAGCCAAAGGAAGUGAUGACAAGAUCAACCACCUGCUCAUUUUGGCCUGUCUAAUAAUGUUUUUCAGUGGUUUGGUGGCAAACUGGAAGUGA
Molecule: ribosomal RNA, 3228 nt
Filed under: Triticum aestivum (bread wheat)
Lineage: Eukaryota; Viridiplantae; Streptophyta; Magnoliopsida; Poales; Poaceae
Description: partial small subunit ribosomal RNA
Source: RNAcentral